GAAAAUUCCAUCAGUGUGUUGUUUCGGUUUCCUUUUCAGUUUGUAAAAUCGCAUCGAACGGCACGGCUCGGGACGCGCGCGCAGUGAUCGGCAUCGGCAUCGGCAUCGGCAAUAGAGAAACAGAGUGGUGUGUCGGAAACGGUAGUGAGAACCGAGUCGAGUCCCCAAUAGAAAGCCCCUGUACCCGAAGAAGUAGGAGUCCGACACGGGCGGGGAGCGUGUGUAUAGUGUAGUGUAGUAGUGUAAUUCUCUCACCUAAUUUUUAGUUGUUGUUCCCAUUUUUCGAACAAAGUCCUGACUUGGUUUCGGAACGAAGAUAUAUAUUGGAGGAUAUACCAGCAGAGCGGAGUUAUGUUUUGCGGCAGAGCGCAUCGAGGAGGUCCAGGCCCCAGCGAAUAGCGCCAUGUCGUCCUACCGAAACCCAACCUAGUGAGUACUUCAACGUCUGAAGCGUAGCAUUGUCUACCAUGCUGUGGGUCUCCUAACAUCUAGUUGAUACGUUUUCAAGUGCACAUGAGGUAGAUCGAGAGCGGGAGAUCGAGUGACUGAGCCUUGGUUUCCAGUGGGAGGACCAUCGAGUGGUGGGUGUGAGGAAGGAACUGCAACUGAAUCGUGGGGAAAGAGGACCGAGGGAAAUAUUCAGCCAUGAAUCUGAUCAACAUGGACUCGGAGAAUCGGGUGGUGCUGAAUGUCGGUGGGAUACGGCACGAGACAUACAAGGCCACAUUGAAGAAGAUUCCAGCGACGCGACUGUCGCGUCUCACGGAAGCCCUGGCCAACUAUGAUCCGAUACUGAAUGAGUACUUCUUUGAUCGGCAUCCGGGCGUAUUCGCACAAGUGCUCAACUAUUACAGAACUGGCAAACUGCAUUAUCCCACAGAUGUGUGCGGACCGCUGUUUGAGGAGGAAUUGGAAUUCUGGGGUCUAGACUCGAAUCAGGUAGAGCCCUGCUGUUGGAUGACCUAUACACAGCAUCGCGACACACAGGAAACCCUAGCCGUAUUGGAUCGUCUGGAUCUGGAUACGGAAAAACCGUCCGAAGAGGAAUUGGCACGCAAAUUUGGCUUCGAAGAGGACUACUACAAAGGCACCCUAUCCUGGUGGCAGGAAAUGAAGCCGCGCAUUUGGUCCUUGUUCGAUGAGCCCUACAGUUCCAAUGCCGCCAAGACCAUUGGCGUUGUUUCGGUAUUUUUUAUAUGCAUUUCGAUAUUGUCAUUCUGCCUGAAAACCCAUCCCGAUAUGAGGGUACCAAUAGUGCAAAAGGUGACCGUUCGAACGGCGAACGGUAGCACGGCCUGGGUCCUGGACAAGCCACAAACCAAUGCGCAUAUAGCCUUUUUUUAUAUCGAAUGCGUUUGCAAUGCCUGGUUUACAUUUGAGAUAUUGGUACGCUUUAUCUCAUCGCCGAACAAAUGUGAAUUCAUCAAGUCAUCUGUUAACAUCAUAGACUAUAUAGCAACGCUUAGUUUUUAUAUUGAUCUUGUGCUUCAGCGAUUCGCAUCGCAUUUGGAGAACGCUGACAUACUGGAGUUCUUCUCGAUCAUACGCAUCAUGCGUCUGUUCAAGCUAACGCGUCACUCGUCCGGCCUGAAGAUCCUCAUCCAAACGUUCCGUGCCUCGGCGAAGGAGCUGACCCUGCUGGUGUUUUUCCUCGUCCUUGGUAUUGUGAUCUUCGCCAGCUUGGUGUACUAUGCCGAGCGCAUACAACCGAAUCCGCACAACGACUUCAACAGCAUACCGCUUGGCCUGUGGUGGGCUUUGGUGACAAUGACCACCGUGGGGUAUGGCGAUAUGGCGCCAAAAACAUACAUCGGCAUGUUCGUGGGCGCCCUGUGCGCCCUGGCCGGUGUACUAACCAUUGCACUGCCAGUGCCCGUUAUAGUUAGCAACUUUGCGAUGUACUAUUCGCAUACGCAGGCGCGCGCGAAACUGCCAAAGAAGCGUAGACGAGUGCUUCCCGUCGAACAGCCGCGACAAGCGCGAAUACCAGGGGCUCCUGGCGGUGUCAGUGGUUGUGGCACACCGGGCUCGGGGCCACAUUCGGGACCCAUGGGCUCUGGCGGCACUGGACCGCGUCGCAUGAACAAUAAAACCAAGGAUCUGGUCAGUCCCAAAUCAGAUGAAUAUACAACAAUGAUUGGCAAACCGCGAGAUGGCAAGAAGAGCAGGCUGCUCUAAGGCCACAGACACGAGCACCACAUCAAAGAACCACAAGAAACCACAGCAACACCAUCCAACAGAACCAGAACCAGAAACCGAAACCAGAAACCAGAAACCAGAUGAAGAACCAAACCCAAAAACCAAAACCAAACCCCAAACCCAAAACCGUUUGAAACUAUGAUUGAGAGAUGAUGAAGAAACUUUUCUAUAUAAGAAUUUGGCAAACUGAUCUAUGAGAAAACGCACUGAGACAAAGCGAGUGUAAGCCCCAAACUACUGGACUACUGGAUAGAGAGAAUCAGAAUCAGAGAUGAACAGAAAAUCGAGUGUUGCUCAACUCUUCGCAGGUCCACUGGGCGCCAGCAUCGUGGCGAUGAGUCCGCGUACGAUGCUCGAUUUGAAUCCGGCCUUGGCCAU
RNAcentral lists this unclassified non-coding RNA (2577 nucleotides) under Drosophila pseudoobscura pseudoobscura. RNAcentral describes it as "GA15475". The stretch from base 1777 to 1890 matches the Rfam family "Potassium channel RNA editing signal". The record is from RNAcentral. Lineage: Eukaryota; Metazoa; Arthropoda; Insecta; Diptera; Drosophilidae.